RNAcentral lists this ribosomal RNA (301 nucleotides) under uncultured bacterium. Its description in RNAcentral is "partial 16S ribosomal RNA". It matches the Rfam family "Bacterial small subunit ribosomal RNA", at positions 509 to 809 of the family's 1533-position model. The record is from RNAcentral.
CAGCAGCCGCGGUAACACGAAGGGUGCAAGCGUUAAUCGGAAUUACUGGGCGUAAAGCGUGCGUAGGCGGUGAGUUAAGUCUGCUGUGAAAUCCCCGGGCUCAACCUGGGAAUGGCAGUGGAUACUGGCUCGCUAGAGUGUGUCAGAGGAUGGUGGAAUUCCCGGUGUAGCGGUGAAAUGCGUAGAGAUCGGGAGGAACAUCAGUGGCGAAGGCGGCCAUCUGGGACAACACUGACGCUGAGGCACGAAAGCGUGGGGAGCAAACAGGAUUAGAUACCCCUGUAGUCCUGUCUCUUUACAC